AGUGAACGCUGGCGGUAGGCCUAACACAUGCAAGUCGAACGGCAGCACAGUAAGAGCUUGCUCUUACGGGUGGCGAGUGGCGGACGGGUGAGGAAUACAUCGGAAUCUACUUUUUCGUGGGGGAUAACGUAGGGAAACUUACGCUAAUACCGCAUACGACCUACGGGUGAAAGCAGGGGAUCUUCGGACCUUGCGCGAUUGAAUGAGCCGAUGUCGGAUUAGCUAGUUGGCGGGGUAAAGGCCCACCAAGGCGACGAUCCGUAGCUGGUCUGAGAGGAUGAUCAGCCACACUGGAACUGGGACACGGUCCAGACUCCUACGGGAGGCAGCAGUGGGGAAUAUUGGACAAUGGGCGCAAGCAUGAUCCAGCCAUACCGCGUGGGUGAAGAAGGCCUUCGGGUUGUAAAGCCCUUUUGUUGGGAAAGAAAAGCAGCAGGUUAAUACCCCGCUGUUCUGACGGUACCCAAAGAAUAAGCACCGGCUAACUUCGUG
This 492-nucleotide ribosomal RNA is filed under the name uncultured bacterium. RNAcentral describes it as "partial 16S ribosomal RNA". It matches the Rfam family "Bacterial small subunit ribosomal RNA", at positions 29 to 507 of the family's 1533-position model. The record is from RNAcentral.